CUCCAUUGUGUUGCAGGCAUACCCAGCUGAGCAGGCCAAGUUGCUGGCUGGAUUUCACACAGAGACGCCGGGAAGGAAUUGCGCAUCUGUGGGGCAGCCCGUUUGCCCACAGGGAGAGCCGGUUUCCCGGGGAGCUUUGGGGGAACACCACGGUAGCGCUGAGAGAUGACAAGAGCCAGUGUCAAAGGAAAAAAAAAUCAGAACAUAUUUGCUGAUGAAGUUGACUCCUAAGAAACAAAAGCAGGUACCCCGGACUGCCACGAUUCCCUGCAGGAAAAGUUCUCAGAGCUAAAGCAACAGGAAACGACAUAUAGGAGAGGAUUCUGGGAGCCCAGCACAGGCUUCGGAGACAUUUCUUGUCUCAGACCACACAGGGGAGCUCUUUUUCUUCUUCCACCGACUAUGAGAAGCCACCAAAGAGACUCCAGGUCACUGGGGGAGGAGCUGUUGACAGAGGAACUCGCUGCUAUGCGACUUGGCAUAAACUAAGACCCCAACGAUGAAACCAGGUGCACACAUUAAACUUGGUGUUCGUGCAAAACAGCCUGACAAACCAGUAUGGCGUCUGUUACUCCAGGGUGACCGUAACAAAACCCUC
Long non-coding RNA from Meriones unguiculatus (Mongolian gerbil), 598 nucleotides. RefSeq lists it as uncharacterized. The record is from RefSeq and is a predicted model, not a curated record. NCBI's taxonomy places the organism in Eukaryota, Metazoa, Chordata, Mammalia, Rodentia, Muridae. The transcript is spliced from 3 exons.